Quercus robur (English oak) is the source of this 5069-nucleotide RNA transcript. It is a transcript of the gene named DEAD-box ATP-dependent RNA helicase 42, with no coding region annotated. NCBI's taxonomy places the organism in Eukaryota, Viridiplantae, Streptophyta, Magnoliopsida, Fagales, Fagaceae. The record is from RefSeq and is a predicted model, not a curated record. The transcript is spliced from 5 exons.
AACUGUAAGGCGGUUCCAACUACAAAAUUUUCGGCCCUUGAAAAGUUUAAAACGCACCCAUAGUGAAGUCGGGGGGUCUCCUUACGCUAGCCGCUAAUUUUUAUAUAUUCGACCAAAACAGAAGGUUAGGGUUUCGACUCUCGAAACUUCCUUUUAUCUGUGGAUUCAACAUUCAUCUUCGCCACGAAUUUGUUUUCCGCGAUAUCUUGCAAAAUUUAGGAGCCGCUUAAUUUUUCUGGUCUCGUAUAAUCUCAACCGCUCGUACUUUCAUCACAUAAUAAAGAACUUGAAGAGAAAGCUAUGGAUGAGGGGAAGCAUAAAUCUAGGAGGGAGGAUUCGGAGAGGAGUGAGGUGGAGGAUUUGAAGGAGUCCAAGCGGAGCCACCGUGAUCGCGAUAGAGAAAGAGAUAAGGAGAGAAAUGGGGAGAGACACAGGGACAGGGACCGGGAUAGGGUGAAGAAAGACCGUGAUAGCCGGCGUUCUGAGAGAGAGAAGAGUAGCGAAUCUGAUGACAAGGAGAGAAAUGGGGAGAGACAUAGGGAGCGGGAUAGGGAGAAGAAGGACCGCGAUAGCCGGCGUUCUGAGAAAGAGAAGAGUAUUGAAUCUGAUGAGAAGGAGAGAAAUGGGGAGAGGCAUAGGGACCAGGAGAGGGAGAAGAAGGACCGAGAUAGUCGGCGUUCUGAGAGAGAGAAGAGUAGUGAUUCUGAUGACAAGCAUGAUAGAAUUAGGGAGAAGCAUAGAGACAGGGACAAGGAUAAGGAUAGGACACGAAGUCGGGAUGACGACAGAGAAAGAGAGAGAGCCAGAGAAAAGAAGAGGGAAAGAGACAGGGAAGAGAGGGAGAGAGAGAGGGAGAGGGAAAGGGAGAAAGAGAAGAGGGAGAGGGCAAGAGAGAAAGAAAGAGAGAGGGAAAGAGAAAGAGAGAAGAGGGAACGUGAGAGAGAAGAGCGAGAGAGGGAGAGAGAGAGGGAGAGGAGGGAGCGUGAAAGAGAGAGAGAGAAGGAGAGAGAAAGAGAGAGGAGGAUACGGGACAGGGAGAAGCAUCGAGAAGCUGAUAGUGAUGACGGUGAUGAUAAUCAUAGGGAGCAUGACAGGAAGCGACGCAGGAGAGAUGAUGAUGGUUACAAGGAUAGAGAUCGUGAACGGAGCAAUAGCAGGCCUCGCAAGCACAGGGCUGAUAGUGAAGAGAGCCCUAGAAAAAAGAGUACUGAGGAUGAUUCUGAUAAGGAGAAUAAACUGACCCGUGAAGAGGAGUUGAAGGAUGAGCAGCGGAGAUUGGAGGAGGAAAUGGAAAAGCGGAGGAGGAGAGUGCAGGAGUGGCAGGAGACGAAGAGAAAAAAUGAAGAAGCUGAGAGAGAAAAGCGUGGGGAAGCGAAUGCUGAGGAACCCAUGUCUGGGAAGACCUGGACCCUUGAAGGAGAAUCUGAUGAUGAAGAAGUACCUCCUAUGGGGAAACCAGAGACGGAUAUGGACAUGGAUGAAAAUGUCAAUCCUACUGACAACGAAGUUGGGGAUUCAAUGUUGGUUGAUUCUGAGAAUGGAAUAGCUUCCACUUCACAGAAUGGGGCUGAUGGUGAUGCUGGGGAUGAGGAAAUUGAUCCAUUGGAUGCCUUUAUGAAUUCUAUGGUAUUGCCUGAAGUUGAGAAGCUAAACAAUACUUCGGCUUCUCCGAAUUUUGAUGAUAUGGAUGUGGACUCAAAGAACAAACCUAAGAAGGAUGAAUUAAGUAAUGGUGAGCAGCCUAGGAAGGGUUCAAAUAAGUCUAUGGGGAGAAUAAUGCAGGGUGAAGAUUCAGAGUCAGAUUAUAGUGACCUUGAGAAUGAUGAGGAUCCUGUACAAGAAGAAGAUGAUGAUGAGUUCAUGAAAAGGGUGAAGAAGACAAAAGCUGAGAAGCUUUCUGUAGUUGACCACUCUAAGAUUGAUUAUGAACCGUUCCGGAAAAACUUCUAUAUUGAAGUGAAAGAGAUCGGUAAGAUGACUUCUGAAGAGGUUGUUGCUUACCGAAAAGAAUUGGAAUUGAAGUUACAUGGUAAAGAUGUACCAAAGCCAAUUAAAACCUGGCACCAAACGGGACUUACGAGUAAAAUCUUGGAGACAAUAAAGAAGCUGGAAUAUGAAAGUCCAAUGCCAAUUCAAGCUCAGGCUCUGCCUAUAAUUAUGAGUGGUCGAGACUGCAUAGGCGUUGCCAAAACUGGCUCAGGCAAAACCCUUGCAUUUGUGCUGCCAAUGUUGAGGCAUAUCAAGGACCAGCCACCUGUGGUAGCUGGAGAUGGACCUAUUGGGCUUAUAAUGGCACCUACAAGGGAGCUUGUACAGCAGAUCCACAGUGAUAUAAAGAAGUUUUCCAAGGUACUUGGUAUCAGGUGUGUGCCUGUGUAUGGAGGUUCUGGUGUUGCUCAACAAAUUAGUGACUUGAAGCGUGGUACAGAGAUUGUUGUCUGUACUCCAGGUAGGAUGAUUGACAUACUUUGCACAAGUGGGGGGAAAAUUACAAAUCUGCGUAGAGUCACAUAUUUGGUUAUGGAUGAAGCUGAUCGGAUGUUUGACAUGGGUUUUGAACCUCAAAUUACUCGAAUUGUUCAAAAUAUUCGGCCAGAUCGUCAAACGGUACUCUUUUCUGCAACUUUCCCUCGUCAGGUAGAAAUUUUGGCGCGUAAAGUGUUAAACAAACCUGUGGAGAUACAGGUUGGUGGGAGAAGUGUUGUGAACAAGGAUAUAACACAGUUGGUUGAGGUGAGGCUGGAAAAUGAAAGGUUCUUAAGAUUGCUGGAACUACUUGGGGAAUGGUAUGAGAAAGGGAAAAUUUUAAUAUUUGUCCACUCGCAGGAGAAAUGUGAUGCUUUGUUCAGGGAUCUCAUCAAGCAUGGUUAUCCUUGCCUCUCGCUUCAUGGGGCUAAGGACCAGACUGACCGUGAAUCAACCAUUUCUGAUUUUAAGAGCAAUGUCUGCAAUUUGCUGAUUGCUACAAGUAUUGCUGCUAGGGGUUUAGAUGUGAAGGAGCUUGAAUUGGUGGUAAACUUUGACGUUCCAAACCACUAUGAAGAUUAUGUCCAUCGUGUUGGUCGUACAGGUCGAGCUGGCAGGAAAGGUUGUGCUAUCACAUUUAUUUCUGAGGAAGAUGCAAGAUAUGCACCUGAUCUUGUAAAAGCAUUGGAACUUUCUGAGCAAGCUGUUCCCGAUGACCUGAAAGCUCUUGCUGAUGGUUUUAUGGCAAAAGUGAAUCAGGGACUUGAGCAAGCCCAUGGUACUGGUUAUGGUGGAAGUGGUUUUAAAUUUAAUGAAGAGGAAGAUGAGGUGAGGAGAGCUGCAAAGAAAGCACAGGCCAAAGAAUAUGGUUUUGAAGAGGACAAGUCAGAUUCGGAUGAUGAUGAUGACAGUAUACGGAAGGCAGGUGGUGACAUAUCCCAGCAUACUGCCUUAGCUCAGAUAAUUGCUGCUGCCUCCAAAGUCAGUACAGCGAGUGCACCUAUGCCGACCCCUGUCACUGCUGUACAACUGCUUCCCAACGGUGGACUACCUGUUACACUGCCAACAAUUGGUCUAGCAAUACCUGGAACAACGGCAGCGGUGUCUGCGACCGGCCUGCCUGUUGUUGCCAAUGAUGGAGCAGGGGCAGCUCGGGCAGCAGCAAUUGCAGCGGCUCUCAACUUACAGAAAAAUUUGUUGAAGCUUCAAGAAGUUGCUAUGCCAGAACAUUACGAAGCGGAGUUGGAGAUUAAUGAUUUUCCCCAGAAUGCUCGAUGGAGGGUUACCCACAAGGAAACUUUGGGCCCAAUUUCGGAGUGGACUGGAGCUGCUAUUACUACGAGGGGGCAGUAUUUUCCACAAGGUCGGAUCCCAGGACCUGGAGACCGCAAGCUCUACUUGUUCAUUGAGGGCCCUACUGAACAGUCUGUCAAGAGAGCUAAAUCAGAAUUAAAACGAGUUUUGGAAGACAUCACAAACCAGGGAUCACAACCAAACAGUGCAGCCCAACCUGGCAGAUACCAAGUUUUAUAAGUGUAAGCACUUGAUUUCAAUUCAUACAGCCAUUAUUGGCAUAACAUUACCUGCUUCUGUUGGAUUUAAGUUGAGACCCAACUUCUGGUUAUUCUCUCUUUCUUGGUUUAUUGUUGGAUAAAUUUCUGUUAACUAGUGUUUUGCCCUCCACCUUAAACAAGGGAAGGAGGUGCCAUUUGAGCUAGCUCAUUAGCUAGGAAAUGACCUUUUUGAUUUUAAAAAAUCUCUACUAGUGGCUUGGGGAUUGUUUAUAUUUUUAUGGUGUAACUUUAGUUUGUGAGUCGCACAAGAUAUGUAAUAUAAUCUAGAAUUGAAAUCGUGACUUUUUUGUUCUUCUUCUUUUUCCAGAUUUCCCUCCCUCCCUCACCAUUGUAAUACCUUGUGGUGUCUUGGAUGUAGCAUAAAAUGUUAUGAAUUGUUUCUUGCUUACCACAUUUGUUCGACCCUUUUGAUUUUUCUUUUCUUUUGGUUUUUCUUUUCUCAUGGCACGAGGGAUGUUUUAAGCCUAUGCCCGCAUUUGCUAUCGUGGAUGUGAAAGAGAUGGCGAUUAUGGUUCAGUUGGGAUAUUUCAGGAGCCAAUUGUUGCUUUGUGUGCAACUUUUGUUAUGGUGAAGAUAUCGACAGGACUACCAUCUAAUCAGGACACCUACUACCACCGGCAGUAAGCCUUCCAGGACUGUCAAUCUGAAACUCUUUUCCUAUCAUAUCAGAAGCUAGUAGGGAGAGAACUGAAAGGAGGUUUGGAAGAAGUGGACGAGAGGUAAAUCAGCCUAUUGGAUUGGUAUACUGGAACUCUGGUAUGCUUUUUUCCGAACUCGUGUCUUGGAUGUAUGUGAUGAAGGAAUUGCUUCACUUGGUGUUGGAUUUCUAUGGAUCAAUCUGCUCGUGCCUCAGAAGGUUGCUUCCUUCGUUUGAUUUAGAAGAUUUUAUGUUAUUUUCCUCGUUUUAUUGUGAUGCGCAAUAAUUGUGAUGCGGUGCUAUAGAGAAUUGUUAGGUAUCUUUGUGGGGGGACAAAAGGUUAUGUGGUGUUGAAAAUAUGAGUCCAUGCAAUUUACAGCCUUAACACUUUA